AUUAUUUUAUUGAAUUAAAUACGAUCCAUUUCGUUCUAUUUCUAUUACUAUGUUCGUGCAUAAUUCGAUAAAGUAAUAUAAAAUAAAAAACAUUGUGCGUCUAUUAUUUCCUUAUAAAACGAAAGAAACUUCUCGGACAAUCUAAUAGAAAUUAGCUUACACGUUGAAUGUUACGAAGGUUUAAAGGAUUAAUGGAAUACUUAUUGAAAAAAUUUGAAAACAUAAUCUAAAAAAGAGUAGCUAACAAUACGUGCAGGUGUAAACCUUCCUUUUACAGUUUAACUUUUCUCCCGAGUGUUAUGAUUUUCAUAAUAAUACAGUAUUAUGAAAUAUACAUAAUAAUACAGUAUUAUACAAUACUUCCUGGACAAAUGAUAGCAUUUUCUUCCGACUCAUAUUUCAUGGAAGUGUUCUCUGACAUUGUUAUUCAAGAACGGAGAUUUCAAUUGCUAAAAACCCGACACAAACUUCAAGAGUCCGAAGAGAACGAAGCCAUAGGAGUUACUGGGAUGAAAAAUAAGGAAAUAGAGUGGAAAUACUAUCGAACAUUAUCUACACGCACAUGAUAUCCACACUAACAAAUCUGCUGGUUGACUCAACAGAGGCAGUUGUAAAUGUAAUGUAGUCUUUAAAAGAAAAGAUUUCAUUUAUUGUAGUAUUGUAAUAUCGCGAGGAAAAAGCCUAAUUAGAAAUCGAUCAAAACAAUGUCGUCUGUCCCUCGGUUAUUAGUUUACAUAGGAAAAAAGCCAAUGUGACUAAAAUCACCUAGUUCUUGCGGAGCGUUAACAGGAUGGGAUUAGAGAAAAGAAAAAAAUAACGCUAAUGGAGGGGGAGAAGCGUUGAGCGGUUGAUCGAGAAGCGUUGAGCGGUUGAUCGAGAAGUGAGAGUGAGUCGAGAGGUCAGAGUUAACCGAGGAGUCGAAGAGAAGAGUUGUGAGCGUUGUCGAGUUGCGUGAGUUACUAGCGUAGCUGAGAGAUUGAGUUGUUGGCGUUGCUCAGUUGCGAGAGUGAUCGAAUUAGAGUAAAACUGUUACAUUUAGUUCCAUAUUAAAUAAUCAUUGUUUUCUGUCUCAUUAAUAUCUGUAUAACUAAUUUAUUGUAAAUAAAUUACAAAUUAUAAAUAGUAUCAGGAUAAGUUUAUA
RNAcentral lists this unclassified non-coding RNA (1141 nucleotides) under Bombus terrestris (buff-tailed bumblebee). RNAcentral's name for it is "misc RNA ENSBTSG00005038992.1". Lineage: Eukaryota; Metazoa; Arthropoda; Insecta; Hymenoptera; Apidae. The record is from RNAcentral.